Ixodes scapularis (black-legged tick) is the source of this 447-nucleotide long non-coding RNA. RefSeq lists it as uncharacterized. The transcript has 2 exons. The record is from RefSeq and is a predicted model, not a curated record. NCBI's taxonomy places the organism in Eukaryota, Metazoa, Arthropoda, Arachnida, Ixodida, Ixodidae.
CGCCGAAUGCUGAUGCAGCCUUCGUGUCCAUACACGCUCAAAGUGUGAACACAAAUAUUGGUGGACUCAUAUAAUACGGUGGGCCGUGAAACUGUGCACACCGCUUAGCCAUCUUCCUGACAGAACUACGCGUUGACGACUCACCCGGAGGUCCUCAGCAUGCUGUUCGAGCGCAGGCACCUCGCAGGGCACGUGGACCGACAGCAGCAGCUCUGCCUCGUGGAACCACCGCCGCAGUUGGUCCAGACCCGUCUGGAACUGCUGGUUGGCCCUGAUGGACUCCCCGCUGGUCAGGAAGGCGUGGAUCUGGGGAGGAGACGGACGAAGGCUGAAGCUAGGACUAGUUGGUGGAUGAUACAUUCAAAUGGCUUGAUACGUCAUAAAUCAAGAGUGCAAAUUGAAACCAAGACCUCUAAAACGUGCAAAAUAAAAUUUACUGAUUUAUAA